This is a long non-coding RNA of Rhinopithecus roxellana (golden snub-nosed monkey), 625 nucleotides long. RefSeq lists it as uncharacterized. The record is from RefSeq and is a predicted model, not a curated record. Lineage: Eukaryota; Metazoa; Chordata; Mammalia; Primates; Cercopithecidae. The transcript has 3 exons.
GUCUGUGGCACCCUGGCUUGAUCUGAGAGUAGGUUCCCCGAGGAAAUUGUUAAAAAGCAGGUUCUGGUUCAGAAGGUCUGGAGUGGGGCCUGAGAGUCCUCGCUUCUAACAGAGUCCCAGGUGAUGCCCAUCUGACACUGGAGUCUCAUGGGAGCGAGAAGACCUCAGCGCAGGCUUAAGAGGAUGCAUGAAGGUGGGGACUGCAUGGGCCCAGUGAAGGGGAGCCAGAGGGAAGAAGACGCCACCAUCCUAGGCCCUGAAAGACCUCUGAGGCCAGUGGCCCCGGCUUGCUCUGAGGAGGACGUUCGCCACCCAAGGGCCCAUGGCCCCAGAUCCAGCCUCAGGCCACCUCUCCCCUGGACUCCCAGCUCCCCUGCUGCCCUGUGCUUGGGCCAGGACCACAGUAACUCCUGAGUCAUCUCACCUUCUAUCUCUCUGGUUUUCGCUCACCUGCCUCCCUGGCUUGGGUUUCUUUGAGAAGAAAAUUUUCUAUCUCCCUCCCAUCUGUGCGCUCCCAGGGAAGCACAGCCUGCCUGGUGACAGCUUCUCUCAAGAAUGCUCAGGGAUGGCCAGGCGUGGUGGCUCACGCCUGUAAUUCCAACACUUUGGGAGACCGAGGCGGAAG